AACGCACCUUGCGCCUUUUGGUAUUCCGAAAGGCAUGCCUGUUUGAGUGUCAUGAAAUAUCAACCCCUCCUGGUUUCUGAUCAGUGUUGGGCUUGGACUUGGGUGUCUGCCAGCUCGCUGGCUCGCCUUAAAAGAGUUAGUGGUAAUAACAUCCACGGCUAAGACGUAAUAAGUUUCGUCUGGUCAAGGUGUGACGACUGCUCAUAACCCGACCGCAAGGUCAUUAUUUUAUGCUCUGACCUCAAAUCAGGUAGGACUACCCGCUGAACUUAA
This 273-nucleotide unclassified non-coding RNA is filed under the name Cortinarius sp. RNAcentral's name for it is "partial contains 5.8S ribosomal RNA, internal transcribed spacer 2, and large subunit ribosomal RNA". The stretch from base 1 to 52 matches the Rfam family "5.8S ribosomal RNA", at positions 103 to 154 of the family's 154-position model. The record is from RNAcentral. RNAcentral also lists the same sequence under 3 other names. Lineage: Eukaryota; Fungi; Basidiomycota; Agaricomycetes; Agaricales; Cortinariaceae.